GGUGAGAUGCCGGAGCGGCUGAACGGCCAGGUCUCGAAAACCUUGGGGUCUGCAAGGGCCACGUGGGUUCGAACCCCACUCUCACCGCCA
RNAcentral lists this transfer RNA (90 nucleotides) under bacterium. Its description in RNAcentral is "tRNA-Ser". It matches the Rfam family "tRNA". Rfam says of the family: Transfer RNA (tRNA) molecules are approximately 80 nucleotides in length. Their secondary structure includes four short double-helical elements and three loops (D, anti-codon, and T loops). The record is from RNAcentral.